RNAcentral lists this ribosomal RNA (405 nucleotides) under Bdellovibrionales bacterium. RNAcentral's name for it is "bacterial SSU rRNA". It matches the Rfam family "Bacterial small subunit ribosomal RNA", at positions 1129 to 1533 of the family's 1533-position model. The record is from RNAcentral. Lineage: Bacteria; Pseudomonadati; Bdellovibrionota; Bdellovibrionia; Bdellovibrionales.
GGAUGGGAACUCUAACGAGACUGCCUGGGUUAACCAGGAGGAAGGUGAGGAUGAGGUCAAGUCAGCAUGGCCCUUAUGUCUGGGGCGACACACGUGCUACAAUGGUCGGUACAGAAGGCAGCAAGACCGUAAGGUGGAGCAAAUCCCUAAAACCGAUCCCAGUUCGGAUAGAAGUCUGCAACUCGACUUCUUGAAGUUGGAAUUGCUAGUAAUGACGUGUCAGCAAUAACGUCGUGAAUACGUUCCCGGGCCUUGUACACACCGCCCGUCACAUCAUGGAAGUUGGUUUUACCCGAAGUCGCUGACUCAACCGCAAGGAGAGAGGCGCCGAAGGUGAGGCUGAUGACUGGGAUGAAGUCGUAACAAGGUAGCCGUACCGGAAGGUGCGGCUGGAUCACCUCCUUU